Molecule: ribosomal RNA, 203 nt
Filed under: uncultured bacterium
Lineage: Bacteria
Description: partial 16S ribosomal RNA
Rfam family: Bacterial small subunit ribosomal RNA
Source: RNAcentral
AAACCCGGUCUAAUACCGGAUACGACGGCUCGUGGCAUCACGAGGCGUGGAAAGAUUUCUCGGCUAGGGAUGGGCCCGCGGCCUAUCAGCUUGUUGGUGGGGUGACGGCCUACCAAGGCGUCGACGGGUAGCCGGCCUGAGAGGGCGACCGGCCACACUGGGACUGAGACACGGCCCAGACUCCUACGGGAGGCAGCAGUGGG